This 517-nucleotide ribosomal RNA is filed under the name uncultured bacterium. RNAcentral describes it as "bacterial SSU rRNA". It matches the Rfam family "Bacterial small subunit ribosomal RNA", at positions 28 to 518 of the family's 1533-position model. The record is from RNAcentral.
GACGAACGCUGGCGGCGUGCUUAACACAUGCAAGUCGAACGGAGAUUAUUAAUGAAGCUUGCGAUUUAAUAAUCUUAGUGGCGGACGGGUGAGUAACGCGUGGGCAACCUACCCAUAAGAGGGGGAUAACAGCUGGAAACGGCUGCUAAUACCGCAUAAACUUUUUAAGACACAUGUUUUAGAAAGGAAAGGUGGCGCAAGCUAUCGCUUAUGGAUGGGCCCGCGUCUGAUUAGCUAGUUGGUGGGGUAACGGCCUACCAAGGCAACGAUCAGUAGCCGGCCUGAGAGGGUGGACGGCCACACUGGGACUGAGACACGGCCCAGACUCCUACGGGAGGCAGGCAGUGGGGAAUAUUGCGCAAUGGGGGAAACCCUGACGCAGCGACGCCGCGUGAGCGAAGAAGGCCUUAGGGUUGUAAAGCUCUGUUCUAUGGGACGAAGUCCUUGACUGUGAAUAAUGGUCAAGGUUGACGGUACCAUAGGAGGAAGCCCCGGUAACUACGUGCCAGCAGCCGAC